GCACCGAUCUGCUUUGGAGAACCUAUUCUGAGACUCCAGCAGGAUGUCUUAUCAACAGUAGCAAUGUAAGCAGCCCUGCCAGCCACCUCCUGUGUGCCGCCUGCCAAAGCGUCCAGAGCCAUGUCCACCCCUGAAGUGCCCUGAGCCCUGCCCACCACCAAAGUGUCCACAGCCCUGCCCACCUCAGCAGUGCCAGCAGAAAUAUCCUCUGGUGACACCUUCCCCACCCUGCCAGCCAAAGUGUCCACCCAAGAGCAAGUAACAGCUUCGGAAUUCAUCAGGACCACGAAAGGAUAGGGAUAAUUGGCUCACCUCGUUCCACA
This 323-nucleotide long non-coding RNA is filed under the name Homo sapiens (human). Its description in RNAcentral is "non-protein coding lnc-SPRR2G-1:2". The record is from RNAcentral. Lineage: Eukaryota; Metazoa; Chordata; Mammalia; Primates; Hominidae.